Molecule: ribosomal RNA, 374 nt
Filed under: uncultured bacterium
Lineage: Bacteria
Description: bacterial SSU rRNA
Rfam family: Bacterial small subunit ribosomal RNA
Source: RNAcentral
AUACGUAGGGGGCGAGCGUUAUCCGGAAUUACUGGGUGUAAAGGGUGCGUAGGUGGCUGCUUAAGCGUGAGGUGAAAGGCAAUGGCUUAACCAUUGUGAGCCUCGCGAACUGGGUGGCUUGAGUGCAGGAGAGGAAAGCGGAAUUCCUAGUGUAGCGGUGAAAUGCGUAGAUAUUAGGAGGAACACCAGUGGCGAAGGCGGCUUUCUGGACUGCAACUGACACUGAGGCACGAAAGCGUGGGGAGCAAACAGGAUUAGAUACCCUGGUAGUCCACGCCGUAAACGAUGAGCACUAGGUGUCGGGGUCGCAAGACUUCGGUGCCGCAGUUAACGCAUUAAGUGCUCCGCCUGGGGAGUACGCACGCAAGUGUGAA